ACGGGUGAGUAACACGUGGGUAACCUGCCCCGUACUCUGGGAUAAGCCUGGGAAACUAGGUCUAAUACCGGAUAUGACUCCUUUGGGCAUCUGAAGGGGUGGAAAGUUCCGGCGGUACGGGAUGGGCCCGCGGCCUAUCAGCUUGUUGGUGGGGUGAUGGCCUACCAAGGCGACGACGGGUAGCCGGCCUGAGAGGGUGACCGGCCACACUGGGACUGAGACACGGCCCAGACUCCUACGGGAGGCAGCAGUGGGGAAUAUUGCACAAUGGGCGAAAGCCUGAUGCAGCGACGCCGCGUGAGGGAUGACGGCCUUCGGGUUGUAAACCUCUUUCAGCAGGGACGAAGCGUGAGUGACGGUACCUGCAGAAGAAGCACCGGCUAACUACGUGCCAGCAGCCGCGGUGAUACGUAGGGUGCGAGCGUUGUCCGGAAUUAUUGGGCGUAAAGAGCUCGUAGGCGGUUUGUUGCGUCGGCCGUGAAAACUUCACGCUUAACGUGGAGCCUGCGGUCGAUACGGGCAGACUUGAGUUCGGCAGGGGAGACUGGAAUUCCUGGUGUAGCGGUGAAAUGCGCAGA
RNAcentral lists this ribosomal RNA (578 nucleotides) under uncultured bacterium. RNAcentral's name for it is "bacterial SSU rRNA". It matches the Rfam family "Bacterial small subunit ribosomal RNA", at positions 102 to 694 of the family's 1533-position model. The record is from RNAcentral.